Long non-coding RNA from Denticeps clupeoides (denticle herring), 1361 nucleotides. Lineage: Eukaryota; Metazoa; Chordata; Actinopteri; Clupeiformes; Denticipitidae. The record is from Ensembl.
AUGAAAUAUUAAUUUCUGAAUAGUAUUGUUUUAACCGAGGUACUUCAUUAAUCUUUUGUCAUAUUGCAGUAAUUGAAGGAAGACGAGGAGAAGGAACUAUGGCACCGUUGCUCUUGAUACUAUGUGCACUUUCCAUGCUUUAUUACUCACCCUGCACAGCAAUAACUAAUUCAGCAUCUCCAAAACUGAAGACUGAGUUGAGCAUGACAAGUUUUGCAGAGCAGAACAGGUCGGGUCCCUUAAUCUCACCUCUGCUCCUAUCCUACCAACAUUUGGAUGCUUCAGAAGCAUCUGGUGAUGCGAGUGGACUUCUAGAGCAUGAAGAUCAAGGACGCAUGCUCUCUGUUAGCCUACUUGAGGAGAAGUUGUUAAUGCAAGAGGCCGAGGAGAGGAGACACCGAAAAGAGGCGUGGUCUCUGGUUCCACCUCCGCCCCUACUGCCACACAGACUGACACAGCUCUGGGAUGGUGACAGCCCUCUCAAUGAAUCCCAAUCAGACGGGUUGCAUUUCACAGAUGUCACUCAAGCCACCUCUGGCCUAACAUCAGCACUUGACACUGACACUGAAGGAAAUAAAUCCACAGAAUCAACAGACGUCCAUGAUGGCGUGGCUGAGGAUGCUGAUCAGUACUCUAGAACAGAAGAGGUUUUCAAAAAACUUGCUAUUGCUGAUGGUUCACUGAGGACUGUUGCUUAUGAGAAAGAACAUAUGACUCCGACAGCUAAUCCAAGAUUUCCCUCAAGGUCACAUGACUCCCAGAACAGCAGCAUGCUGCAGAUGGUUACUCAGCAAAUCACGGUCAAGCCAGGAGAAGAGUCUACUAACGUGACUGCACCAUCGGAGGCUACAAGAAGCCAGUGUCUUUUGGGUUUGGGCCCUUGUUUGCUCCCAAAGGGUUUGAGUGGUACCAAGCUGCAGUGGGAGGAUCUGAGUCGCACGCUGGCAUUCACUUGGGAGCUGCAUGUCUACAGCUCUGCUGUCCUCUUUCUGGUGUUAGUUGGAGGAGCCUUUUGGGGGAUGGUAUGGGGGACGAGUCUGCUCCGUCCUUACAAAGAGGUUCUCCCACAGGCCAAUGGUUUCCUGCUGCUGGCAGGUCUGCUGAGAUGCACACACUUUCUGAUUGACCCUUAUGGGACACGACACAUAUUACCACGCCCUGCCCUCACUGCCAUCUACAACUUGCCACUUCCUCUUCUGCUGUGGACUCAGGCUAUUUUAUCAAUAGUGGUUUUGCGUGGACAUAGGCUCAACUUUCUGCCCCCCGUAUUGCAGCACCCCCAUGUGGCUGGAGGACUGGCAAUGAUACACUGCAGCCUCCUUUUUGUUUCUGACAUGGUUGCCCAGGUGUCGUCCCCAGCU